AUGAAUAAUCAUCGGCAGUGGAGUCAGGGCAAGAAGGAAGUGAUUGAAAAUGGAGAAAGAAGUAGACGAUCCACCUGUCGCAGUUGAAAUCGAUCAAACUGGGCAACGCAACAAUCUUAUUACCACUCGCAAUCCGAUUCAAAACGACCUCAAACGGAUGACGUUUCCGUUGGGGUGACCGUCAUCACGGGCUAUCUCGGUGCUGGCAAAUCC
This 213-nucleotide unclassified non-coding RNA is filed under the name Hevea brasiliensis (rubber tree). The record is from RNAcentral. Lineage: Eukaryota; Viridiplantae; Streptophyta; Magnoliopsida; Malpighiales; Euphorbiaceae.